UACGAAGGGGGCUAGCGUUGCUCGGAAUCACUGGGCGUAAAGCGCACGUAGGCGGACUCUUAAGUCGGUGGUGAAAUCCUGGAGCUCAACUCCAGAACUGCCUUUGAUACUGAGGAUCUUGAGUUCGGGAGAGGUGAGUGGAACUGCGAGUGUAGAGGUGAAAUUCGUAGAUAUUCGCAAGAACACCAGUGGCGAAGGCGGCUCACUGGCCCGAUACUGACGCUGAGGCGCGAAAGCGUGGGGAGC
This 246-nucleotide ribosomal RNA is filed under the name uncultured bacterium. Its description in RNAcentral is "partial 16S ribosomal RNA". It matches the Rfam family "Bacterial small subunit ribosomal RNA", at positions 524 to 769 of the family's 1533-position model. The record is from RNAcentral.